AUGCAUGUCUAAGUACAACAUAAAUGAAUGUGAAACCGCAUAAGGCUCAGUUAACAGCUAUAAUUCACAAGAUCAUCCUACCACUAGUUACUUGGAUAACUGUGGAAAAUCCAGAGCUAAUACAUGCAACAUGCCGGGACGUUUGCCCUCGCGGGUAGCUGAACUGGUGCACUUAUUAGUUAAACCAAUCGCCUCCGGGCGGCUUGAGUUGAAGUCUGGAUAAGGACGCAGAUCGUAUGGUCGCUUGUCGACUGACGACAGAUCUUUCAAAUGUCUGCCCUAUCAACUAUUGAUGGUAGUGUAGAGGACUACAUGGUUGCGGCUCGCGAUGAAACGUCCUAGGUAUUGGUUAUCCAUCCAAGGAAGAGUA
Molecule: ribosomal RNA, 370 nt
Filed under: Anopheles funestus (African malaria mosquito)
Lineage: Eukaryota; Metazoa; Arthropoda; Insecta; Diptera; Culicidae
Description: eukaryotic small subunit ribosomal RNA
Rfam family: Eukaryotic small subunit ribosomal RNA
Source: RNAcentral